This 1455-nucleotide ribosomal RNA is filed under the name metagenome. RNAcentral's name for it is "bacterial SSU rRNA". It matches the Rfam family "Bacterial small subunit ribosomal RNA". The record is from RNAcentral.
AGAGUUUGAUCCUGGCUCAGAACGAACGCUGGCGGCGUGGAUUAGGCAUGCAAGUCGAACGCGAAACUUUAGAUUGAAGCUUCGGCUGAUUUCUAAAGUGGAAAGUGGCGAAAGGGUGAGUAAUGCAUGAAUAACCUACCUUUAAGUGGGGGAUAACUCCGCGAAAGCGGGGCUAAUACCGCAUGAGACCACGGUGAUACUUUCACUGGGGUUAAAGGAGGCCUCUACUUGUAAGCUUCUGUUUAAAGAUGGGUUCAUGUCCUAUUAGCUUGUUGGUGAGGUAACGGCUCACCAAGGCAACGAUGGGUAGCCGACCUGAGAGGGUGAUCGGCCACACUGGGACUGAGACACUGCCCAGACUCCUACGGGAGGCUGCAGUCGAGAAUCUUUCGCAAUGGACGAAAGUCUGACGAAGCGACGCCGCGUGAGCGAUGAAGGCUUUCGGGUCGUAAAGCUCUGUCACAAGGGAAGAAAUGCAUAGUAGUUAAUACCUAUUAUGUUUGACGGUACCUUGAGAGGAAGCCCCGGCUAACUCCGUGCCAGCAGCCGCGGUAAUACGGAGGGGGCAAGCGUUGUUCGGAUUUACUGGGUGUAAAGGGCGUGUAGGUGGCUUUUUAAGUUGGAUGUGAAAUCCCUCAGCUCAACUGAGGAACUGCGUUCAAAACUGAAUCGCUAGAGUGUAGAAGGGGAAAGCGGAAUUCCUGGUGUAGCAGUGAAAUGCGUAGAUAUCAGGAGGAACGCCGGUGGCGAAAGCGGCUUUCUGGUUUAACACUGACACUAAGGCGCGAAAGCUAGGGGAGCGAACGGGAUUAGAUACCCCGGUAGUCCUAGCCGUAAACGAUGAAUACUAGGUGUAGGGAGUUUUAUGCUCUUUGUGCCGACGCUAACGCAUUAAGUAUUCCACCUGGGGAGUACGAUCGCAAGGUUGAAACUCAAAGGAAUUGACGGGGACCCGCACAAGCGGUGGAGCAUGUGGUUUAAUUCGGAGCAACGCGAAGAACCUUACCAGGGCUUGACAUGUAUUGGACCGUCCAUGAAAGUGGAUUUUCCUUCGGGACUGAUACACAGGUGUUGCAUGGCUGUCGUCAGCUCGUGUCGUGAGAUGUUGGGUUAAGUCCCGCAACGAGCGCAACCCUUGUCCUUAGUUGCCAGCAAGUUAAGUUGGGGACUCUAAGGAGACUGCCAGUGAUAAACUGGAGGAAGGUGGGGAUGACGUCAAGUCGUCAUGGCCCUUACGCCCUGGGCUACACACGUGCUACAAUGGCUGGUACAAAGGGAUGCUAGGCCGCGAGGUGGAGCAAAUCCCAAAAAGCCAGUCUCAGUUCGGAUUGGAGUCUGCAACUCGACUCCAUGAAGUUGGAAUCGCUAGUAAUUGCAGAUCAGCUACGCUGUAGUGAAUACGUUCCCGGGUCUUGUACACACCGCCCGUCAAGCCACCCGAGUUGGGUGCACCCA